Myotis davidii is the source of this 72-nucleotide non-coding RNA. Lineage: Eukaryota; Metazoa; Chordata; Mammalia; Chiroptera; Vespertilionidae. The record is from Rfam.
GCCAGGUAGCUCAGUUGGUUAGAGCAUUGUCCUGAUACUACAAGGUUGUGGGUUCAAUUCCCAGUCAGGGCA